UGAAGAGUUUGAUCAUGGCUCAGAUUGAACGCUGGCGGCAGGCUUAACACAUGCAAGUCGAACGAUGAUUAUCUAGCUUGCUAGAUAUGAUUAGUGGCGGACGGGUGAGUAACAUUUAGGAAUCUGCCUAGUAGUGGGGGAUAGCUCGGGGAAACUCGAAUUAAUACCGCAUACGACCUACGGGUGAAAGGGGGCGCAAGCUCUUGCUAUUAGAUGAGCCUAAAUCAGAUUAGCUAGUUGGUGGGGUAAAGGCCCACCAAGGCGACGAUCUGUAACUGGUCUGAGAGGAUGAUCAGUCACACCGGAACUGAGACACGGUCCGGACUCCUACGGGAGGCAGCAGUGGGGAAUAUUGGACAAUGGGCGAAAGCCUGAUCCAGCCAUGCCGCGUGUGUGAAGAAGGUCUUCGGAUUGUAAAGCACUUUAAGUUGGGAGGAAGGGCAGUAAAUUAAUACUUUGCUGUUUUGACGUUACCGACAGAAUAAGCACCGGCUAACUCUGUGCCAGCAGCCGCGGUAAUACAGAGGGUGCAAGCGUUAAUCGGAAUUACUGGGCGUAAAGCGCGCGUAGGUGGUUCGUUAAGUUGGAUGUGAAAUCCCCGGGCUCAACCUGGGAACUGCAUUCAAAACUGACGAGCUAGAGUAUGGUAGAGGGUGGUGGAAUUUCCUGUGUAGCGGUGAAAUGCGUAGAUAUCUGGAAGAACACCGAUGGCGAAGGCAACCUCCUGGGCCUGUUUUGACGCUGAGGCACGAAAGCGUGGGUAGCAAACAGGAUUAGAUACCCUGGUAGUCCACGCCGUAAACGAUGAAUGCCAGUCGUCGGGUUGCAUGCAAUUCGGUGACACACCUAACGGAUUAAGCAUUCCGCCUGGGGAGUACGGUCGCAAGAUUAAAACUCAAAGGAAUUGACGGGGGCCCGCACAAGCGGUGGAGCAUGC
RNAcentral lists this ribosomal RNA (937 nucleotides) under uncultured Isochrysis. Its description in RNAcentral is "partial Bacterial small subunit ribosomal RNA". It matches the Rfam family "Bacterial small subunit ribosomal RNA", at positions 1 to 942 of the family's 1533-position model. The record is from RNAcentral. Lineage: Eukaryota; Haptophyta; Isochrysidales.